RNAcentral lists this transfer RNA (73 nucleotides) under Candidatus Gottesmanbacteria bacterium. RNAcentral's name for it is "tRNA-Pro". It matches the Rfam family "tRNA". From Rfam's summary of the family: Transfer RNA (tRNA) molecules are approximately 80 nucleotides in length. The record is from RNAcentral. Lineage: Bacteria; Candidatus Gottesmaniibacteriota.
CGGGGUGUAGUUCAGUUGGUAGAAUGCACGCAUGGGGUGCGUGAGGUCUCCGGUUCGAAUCCGGACACCCCGA